AAGUCCAGCGGCGCCGCUGCGGCUUCCCUCAGUUUUUGCCUCCGAUGAGGCCCUUCCCGGUUCCCGUUUGAUAUAAUUUUUACACCACUGUGACCACCGUCCUUUUCUCUAUAGGUUAACCGGAGUAAAAUAUCAAAUCGCGACUCGCGCCGGAGAAGCCGCUGCACCCGAGAGCUCCGCCGCCGGUAAGUCUUAGUUUUUCGUAAUAUUUUAGCCCACCGAGGGCCUUAGGGGUGCUUUAUCACAGGAAUCAAUGCGAGUUUGGCCAAAAAUGGUCAACCCGAGGCGGAUCGCCGCCGCGAGCGGCGGUGCCGUCGCCAGAGCACGGCGGAGCCGCCGUGCCGGAGUUUUU
This 352-nucleotide long non-coding RNA is filed under the name Carica papaya (papaya). Its description in RNAcentral is "long non-coding RNA (CPAP_LNC012808)". Lineage: Eukaryota; Viridiplantae; Streptophyta; Magnoliopsida; Brassicales; Caricaceae. The record is from RNAcentral.